RNAcentral lists this unclassified non-coding RNA (274 nucleotides) under uncultured fungus. RNAcentral's name for it is "sequence contains ITS2". The stretch from base 1 to 52 matches the Rfam family "5.8S ribosomal RNA", at positions 103 to 154 of the family's 154-position model. The record is from RNAcentral. Lineage: Eukaryota; Fungi.
AACGCACAUUGCGCCCUUUGGUAUUCCGAAGGGCAUGCCUGUUCGAGCGUCAUUAUCACCCCUCAAGCCCCGUGCUUGGUGUUGGACGGCCGGUCGAGGUUCGCCCCGACCCCUCCUAAAGACAAUGACGGCGACCUGUGGUUCCCCCGGUACACUGAGCUUUUCGCAGAGCACGUACCGGACGAGGGCGCCCGGGUCACGGUCCCCUCCUCCCCGUGAGGAAAUAUUUUUCAAGGUUGACCUCGGAUCAGGUAGGAAUACGCGCUGAACUUAA